RNAcentral lists this ribosomal RNA (460 nucleotides) under uncultured bacterium. RNAcentral describes it as "partial 16S ribosomal RNA". It matches the Rfam family "Bacterial small subunit ribosomal RNA", at positions 338 to 795 of the family's 1533-position model. The record is from RNAcentral.
ACUACGGGAGGCAGCAGUGAGGAAUAUUGGUCAAUGGCCGGAAGGCUGAACCAGCCAUGCCGCGUGAAGGUCAGUGCCCUAUGGGCGUUAAACUUCUUUUGUGCGGGAGCAAUAAUGGUCACGUGUGGCCAGACGAGAGUACCGUACGAAUAAGCAUCGGCUAACUACGUGCCAGCAGCCGCGGUAAUACGGGGGAUGCAAGGGUUAUCUGGAUUUAUUGGGUUGAAAGGGGGCGUAGGUGGGGAGGUAAGUCAACGGGGAAAUGCCCCCGGUCUACGGGGUGAAGUGCCAUUGAUACUGCCUUGCCGGAAUGCGGAUGCCGUGGGAGGAAUGUGUGGUGUAGCGGUGAAAUGCAUAGAUAUCACACAGAACACCGAUUGCGAAGGCAUCUCACGAAUCCGCGAUUGACGCUGAUGCACGAAAGCGUGGGUAUCAAACAGGAUUAGAUACCCUAGUAGUC